CUUGGCGACCAUAGCGUUUUGGACCCACCUGAUUCCAUCCCGAACUCAGAAGUGAAACGAAACAGUGUCGAUGGUAGUGUGGGGUCUCCCCAUGUGAGAGUAGAACAUCGCCAGGC
Molecule: ribosomal RNA, 116 nt
Filed under: Vibrio cholerae
Lineage: Bacteria; Pseudomonadati; Pseudomonadota; Gammaproteobacteria; Vibrionales; Vibrionaceae
Source: RNAcentral